GGGGGAGGGGCGGGCGGAGGGGCGGCGGGAGCGCGAGGCGGGGCGCGCAGGCUUUUGUGGCUCAGCCGCCUCUCGCGCAGCCCCAGCCCCCGGCCCGCAGCCCGGCCGCACCGGGCAGUGCGCGCUCCCCCUGCCCGCUCGCGCGGACUCCCGGCGCCCGCCCCCGCGGCCCCCACCUUCCGGGCCGCCCCCCUCGCCCCCGCCCGCCGCUCUGCCCCCUCCCCCUGCCCCGCCCCCAGCUCGGCCCGCAGGGACCCGCGCAGAGGCCGCCCGCUGCCACUUGGGGUGGGGGGGGGGGGGAGCGGCCCGGGCCCCCCUCACCGGCCGCGCACUGCGCGCCGCACCCUCGUGCCCGGGUCGGAGCUACGCUGAUGCGGCGGGGCUGAGGCGCCGUGGCCCGGGUCCUCCGGCGGGCGGCGUGAGCGGCUCUCACGCCCACCUCGCCCGGUCCGCUCUUGCUUGCCGCACGGGCUGAGCCUCCGCGCGGGACCUCGCGGCUGGCCGCCGGCCCCGCGCCGCCCGGCGUGCCCUGCGGGACCCGGAUCCCGGGCGCUUCCGUCGCGAGCCGCCAGGAGGGCCCUGAGCACUCGGGAGAAACGAUCGUUACCGGACAGACCGCCUCUGGCAGGACGUGGAGCCUCGCUGUCACUCGGGAAGGGACGAGACAGUCACAGGCCGGGGGCGCGGGCGGCGCACGCGGCUGCCCAGGUAGCGCAGAUCCAAGGAGACCGGUUGUAAACUGCAGGAUUGGACUUGAGCAGAGCCCACCCGCCUCCACCUGCAGGCGGUGGCCCCCCGGAAAGGGAAGCGAGGAGAGUCAGAGGCCGCAGCAGCCCCGUGGAGCCUGCUUUUCCCAGGGUCCGCGGCAUCUGUGGUCUUCCCGGGAGGGAAUUCGGCCAGAAAGAGGCCGAAAUGAGACAGACACACGACGGAUGACCAAAGUUCACGGCGCCAGACCAGGUUACGGGCCUUCGGUUCCCUUCCAAUUACAUAGUUCAAGUGAAAAAAGGGGGAAAAAAAAUCAGGUCUAAUUUUUAUCUCCGAGGAGGACGGGCCUGAG
RNAcentral lists this long non-coding RNA (1060 nucleotides) under Capra hircus (goat). RNAcentral's name for it is "lncRNA (ENSCHIG00000004026.1)". Lineage: Eukaryota; Metazoa; Chordata; Mammalia; Artiodactyla; Bovidae. The record is from RNAcentral.